Molecule: ribosomal RNA, 222 nt
Filed under: uncultured bacterium
Lineage: Bacteria
Description: partial 16S ribosomal RNA
Rfam family: Bacterial small subunit ribosomal RNA
Source: RNAcentral
ACGCUCGACACCUACGGGAAGCAGCAGUAGGGAAUCUUCCACAAUGGACGCAAGUCUGAUGGAGCAACGCCGCGUGAGUGAAGAAGGUCUUCGGAUCGUAAAACUCUGUUGUUAGAGAAGAACACGAGUGAGAGUAACUGUUCAUUCGAUGACGGUAUCUAACCAGCAAGUCACGGCUAACUACGUCCAGCAGCCGCGGUAAUCUGAGCGGGCUGGCAAGGC